UCUGCCCCUAAAGGCAUUGCAGGUGUGACUACUGUGUCACAUGUGUAUCAGUAGGUGGCAGAAAGGAGAGAGGAUAUGUUCUCUCAGUGUUCUGACCUAUGAACAUAAGAAUAAUUAGUAGCCUAACAUU
This is a small nucleolar RNA of Rattus norvegicus (Norway rat), 130 nucleotides long. Ensembl annotates it as small nucleolar RNA SNORA17. The record is from Ensembl. NCBI's taxonomy places the organism in Eukaryota, Metazoa, Chordata, Mammalia, Rodentia, Muridae.